AUUGAACGCUGGCGGCAGGCCUAACACAUGCAAGUCGAACGGUAGCACAGAGGAGCUUGCUCCUUGGGUGACGAGUGGCGGACGGGUGAGUAAUGUCUGGGAAACUGCCCGAUGGAGGGGGAUAACUACUGGAAACGGUAGCUAAUACCGCAUAACGUCGCAAGACCAAAGAGGGGGACCUUCGGGCCUCUUGCCAUCGGAUGUACCCAGAUGGGAUUAGCUAGUAGGUGGGGUAACGGCUCACCUAGGCGACGAUCCCUAGCUGGUCUGAGAGGAUGACCAGCCACACUGGAACUGAGACACGGUCCAGACUCCUAGGGGAGGCAGCAGUGGGGAAUAUUGCACAAUGGGCGCAAGCCUGAUGCAGCCAUGCCGCGUGUAUGAAGAAGGCCUUCGGGUUGUAAAGUACUUCCAGCGAGGAGGAAGGUGUUGUGGUUAAUAACCGCAGCAAUUGACGUUACUCGCAGAAGAAGCACCGGCUAACUCCGUGCCAGCAGCCGCCGUAA
This 506-nucleotide ribosomal RNA is filed under the name uncultured bacterium. RNAcentral describes it as "partial 16S ribosomal RNA". It matches the Rfam family "Bacterial small subunit ribosomal RNA", at positions 30 to 523 of the family's 1533-position model. The record is from RNAcentral.